CAGCAGCCACGGUAAUACGUAGGGUGCGAGCGUUGUCCGGAAUUAUUGGGCGUAAAGAGCUCGUAGGCGGCUUGUCGCGUCGGAUGUGAAAGCCCGGGGCUUAACUCCGGGUCUGCAUUCGAUACGGGCAGGCUAGAGUGUGGUAGGGGAGAUCGGAAUUCCUGGUGUAGCGGUGAAAUGCGCAGAUAUCAGGAGGAACACCGGUGGCGAAGGCGGAUCUCUGGGCCAUUACUGACGCUGAGGAGCGAAAGCGUGGGGAGCGAACAGGAUUAGAUACCCCCGUAGUCCCUGUCUCUUAUAC
This 301-nucleotide ribosomal RNA is filed under the name uncultured bacterium. Its description in RNAcentral is "partial 16S ribosomal RNA". It matches the Rfam family "Bacterial small subunit ribosomal RNA", at positions 509 to 807 of the family's 1533-position model. The record is from RNAcentral.